This is a non-coding RNA of Microcebus murinus (gray mouse lemur), 1039 nucleotides long. The record is from RefSeq and is a predicted model, not a curated record. NCBI's taxonomy places the organism in Eukaryota, Metazoa, Chordata, Mammalia, Primates, Cheirogaleidae.
AAUAUAUUGGAGACGCCGUAGACCCGCGACCCGGAGCAGCUCAGGAGGCGGUGAAUAAUAGCUCUUCAAGUCUGCAAUAAAAAAUGGCCUCCAAUAAAACUACAUUGCUCUCCCUGUAUUAUGUGGGCGCAAAAUUAAGGACAACAAUGAAAACGUUACAUUGAGAUACUUACCGACUUGGCUUAACAGUGUCUUAAACCUAAUCUUAGGACAGCACAGUCUGGAUUUUGCUGAGUAUUUUUAUCUUCAAAUAAAAAUGCACAAAUUUAUGUAACAGGAAAAGAAUGUUACAUAAACAAAGUUGUAAAGUCCUUGUUGGUUGGCAUAAUAUUCCUUGAAUCUACUGAGUUCUAGUGAAGUCAAAUAUUUUCAGUAAUGCCCAGUUUAGAGAAUAGCAAAAAAUGGGAAAGAAACAGAAUGGGAAGAGUAAAAAGGUUGAAGAGGCAGAGCCUGAAGAAUUUGUGGUGGAAAAAGUACUGGAUCGACGUGUAGUAAAUGGGAAAGUGGAGUAUUUCCUGAAGUGGAAGGGAUUUACAGAUGCUGACAAUACUUGGGAACCUGAAGAAAAUUUGGAUUGUCCAGAGUUAAUUGAAGCAUUUCUUAAUUCUCAAAAAGCUGGUAAAGAAAAAGAUGGUACAAAAAGAAAGUCUUUAUCUGACAGUGAAUCUGAUGAUAGCAAAUCAAAGAAGAAAAGAGAUGCUGCUGACAAACCAAGAGGCUUUGCCAGAGGUCUUGAUCCUGAAAGAAUAAUUGGUGCCACAGAUAGCAGUGGAGAAUUAAUGUUUCUUAUGAAAUGGAAAGAUUCAGAUGAGGCAGAUUUGGUGCUGGCAAAAGAGGCAAAUAUGAAGUGUCCUCAAAUUGUAAUUGCUUUUUAUGAAGAGAGACUAACUUGGCAUUCUUGUCCAGAAGAUGAAGCUCAAUAAUUGUUUGCAUUGCUUUUUAUAUAUAUUUAUAUAUAUAUAUAAAAUCUGGGUCUUGGUUUUUGAUUUACUAGUGUGAAGAAAUAACUACAUCUAAUAAAUCAAGUUUGAUACAAAAA